Xenopus tropicalis (tropical clawed frog) is the source of this 1685-nucleotide long non-coding RNA. RefSeq lists it as uncharacterized. The record is from RefSeq and is a predicted model, not a curated record. The transcript has 2 exons. NCBI's taxonomy places the organism in Eukaryota, Metazoa, Chordata, Amphibia, Anura, Pipidae.
UGUUGCCAAUAUGCCGCAGAAUGGGGGAAAAAAAGCUUUCUGUAUCAAGAUUGUAAUAAAAGCAUUAAAACUAGGGAAUAGAUUUCAUAGACAUGAAGGCAAGGCAAGGUGCAGGCUGCCCCUGCUUGCCUUAUUGUUACGCCCUUGGUCCUUUCAUACUUCACAUUCUCUCACUCAAUCACACACCAUUCUCUCCCUAUGUAGUGCUAUAUAGAUAUACACUUACCUAUGUACUCACCUUUCCCUUGUAAUUUUUCCAGAUGAGAGACUGUGCUAGAUGAAUGGAUCCCAAGGGGCUCCGGAGCAAAUGACCAGACAUUGCAGAAGAUGAUGUAGUCUGUAUGCAGCUGAUGUUCCAAUGCUAAAGUCCAUGGAUGGUGGUUGUAGAUACCAUGAGGCUCAGAUACUUACCUCUGCCAGGUGGAGCUGACAAAUGAAAAGCCUGAGUUCUUCUUGCUGCCCCCUGAUGUGGUGUCAUUCCUUUGGGGCUGCAGGAAAGACGGAGCCUUACCUUCAAGCGGCUUAAAAAGAUCCAUAGUUGGCUGCACAAAAGUGGAAAAUAAUUGUUAGGACAAUACAGAAUAUCCAGUAUGGAUCUUUCAGAUCUUCAUCAAUCCAGUGAGGAAAGACAGGCUCUUCGUAGAUGACAGAGUCAGUAUGCUCCUCCUCAUCGCUUCCAUCCAAGAACGGGGACUCGCCGGUGGCCAUUUCGAAGAUAAUGAUUCCAAGGGCCCACCAGUCUACUGCUGCAGUAUAUUCCCUACUUUCUAGGAUCUGAAUAGAAAAACAAAGCAUUUAUCAGUUAGUAAGAUGUUGUCAGUUAUUUCACCUUUUGAUGGCUUCACCUUAACCAUCUUAUAAUUUGUUUGUGAGACCUAUAAAUAAGGUAACGGUUAACAAAAUUUGUAUUGAUAUAAGAAGUAAAAGUUGAAUGCGAUAAUGUUGGCUUUACCUGAGAUCAGCCCUUCCCAUACUGUACCCAGCAGUACUUCUUCCCUAUGGAAAGACAUCCCACAAACCCUUGUGUCUUCUGCCUUUAUCCUAUAAAGCCAGCCAGUACAAGUACAUAGAAAUAUGAAGGACAGGCCAUUUUGUAGAUUGGUGUAUUUCUGGUAGAAGGAUUUUUCAGGUAAUAAUUUACAAAAUACUGCCUGCAUUGGGGCAUAGAGACCAUGGGAUAUUGGUGCAUGGCUAAAGGAAACAGUGUAGUAAUAAUUUUACUUGACUGCGUUUAGAGCGUUUUUAAUAUCCACUUUGACAAGAGGCUGCUUAUAUAACCCAAGAAUGACAUUGGGGUAAGUAACUGCAUUUCAGCAGUCACUGAUACUUCUACGUCUAUACAUGUUAUCAGUUUGGCUAUAUAUACAGUUCUGUUGUUUUGGCCACAUAACCCUAUACAUACUGCUGUUACUAGGCCUUACUUGAUAAGAAUGAUACUAGAGUUGCAUUUCUUACCUCCGGGGCAAUGUAUCCCAUUGUGCCUGCCCGCCCAGUGAUGGUCUUGUUGUUGAAAAUAUUCAUCUUCGCUAGACCGAAAUCUGUGAUCUUGAUGUGACCUUCUCCAUCUAGCAUAAUGUUUGCAGGUUUGAGAUCCCUGUAAUAAAGAUAUGAAAAGGGCAAUCAUGAGAGAGGUUUGGAAUUAAUAUUAACCUAUAAGGCAAUGAAAUGUGCAAAAAAAAAAAGAA